UACGGAGGGGGCUAGCGUUGUUCGGAAUGACUGGGCGUAAAGCGCGCGUAGGCGGAUCGGAAAGUCGGGGGUGAAAUCCCGGGGCUCAACCCCGGAAUGGCCUUCGAAACUCCCGGUCUUGAGUUCGAGAGAGGUGGGUGGAAUUCCGAGUGUAGAGGUGAAAUUCGUAGAUAUUCGGAGGAACACCGGUGGCGAAGGCGGCCCACUGGCUCGACACUGACGCUGAGGUGCGAAAGCGUGGGGAGCAAACAGGAUUAGAUACCCCCGUAGUCC
This 273-nucleotide ribosomal RNA is filed under the name uncultured bacterium. Its description in RNAcentral is "partial 16S ribosomal RNA". It matches the Rfam family "Bacterial small subunit ribosomal RNA", at positions 524 to 796 of the family's 1533-position model. The record is from RNAcentral.